GGAAUUGUUACAAUUUUAUUUUGUGACCGACACUAACGGGUAACUGAAAUAUCCUUUUCUGUGUGUGUUUCUCCAUAGCAAAGAUUUACUCGUUUCUGCGAUCACAAAUUACAAAAUUGUAAUCGA
Molecule: microRNA precursor, 126 nt
Filed under: Glossina brevipalpis
Lineage: Eukaryota; Metazoa; Arthropoda; Insecta; Diptera; Glossinidae
Description: microRNA mir-274
Rfam family: mir-274 microRNA precursor family
Source: RNAcentral